UACGGAGGGGGCUAGCGUUGCUCGGAAUCACUGGGCGUAAAGGGUGCGUAGGCGGGUCUUUUAAGUCAGGGGUGAAAUCCUGGAGCUCAACUCCAGAACUGCCUUUGAUACUGAGGAUCUUGAGUUCGGGAGAGGUGAGUGGAACUGCGAGUGUAGAGGUGAAAUUCGUAGAUAUUCGCAAGAACACCAGUGGCGAAGGCGGCUCACUGGCCCGAUACUGACGCUGAGGCACGAAAGCGUGGGGAGCAACAGG
RNAcentral lists this ribosomal RNA (253 nucleotides) under uncultured bacterium. RNAcentral describes it as "partial 16S ribosomal RNA". It matches the Rfam family "Bacterial small subunit ribosomal RNA", at positions 524 to 775 of the family's 1533-position model. The record is from RNAcentral.